AGAGUUUGAUCCUGGCUCAGGACGAACGCUGGCGGCGUGCUUAACACAUGCAAGUCGAACGGGAUCCAGAGCUUGCUCUGGUGAGAGUGGCGCACGGGUGAGUAACGCGUGGAUAACCUGCCCUGGUAUCCGGAAUAACAUCUCGAAAGGGGUGCUAAUACCGGAUAAGCCUACGGAGCCUUCGGUCUCUGCAGGAAAAGGUGGCCUCUAUUUAUAAGCUACCGUAUCAGGAUGGGUCCGCGUACCAUUAGCUAGUUGGUGGGGUAAUGGCCUACCAAGGCGACGAUGGUUAGCUGGUCUGAGAGGAUGAUCAGCCACACUGGAACUGAGACACGGUCCAGACUCCUACGGGAGGCAGCAGUGGGGAAUUUUGCGCAAUGGGGGAAACCCUGACGCAGCAACGCCGCGUGAGUGAUGAAGGCUUUCGGGUCGUAAAGCUCUGUCAGAGGGGAAGAAAUGAGAUUGGCUAAUAUCCAAUUUUCUUGACGGUACCCUCAAAGGAAGCACCGGCUAACUCCGUGCCAGCCGCCGCGGUAAUUC
Molecule: ribosomal RNA, 540 nt
Filed under: uncultured bacterium
Lineage: Bacteria
Description: bacterial SSU rRNA
Rfam family: Bacterial small subunit ribosomal RNA
Source: RNAcentral